This 2693-nucleotide long non-coding RNA is filed under the name Salmo salar (Atlantic salmon). Its description in RNAcentral is "lncRNA (ENSSSAG00000091459.1, ENSSSAG00000092972.1)". Lineage: Eukaryota; Metazoa; Chordata; Actinopteri; Salmoniformes; Salmonidae. The record is from RNAcentral.
UUGUUAUUUCCUUUCCAUUUGUGUCCAAUUAAGACCUACACAACCAGGUGAGAGGAGUUCCUAACUAAUCUGUGACCUUAAAGCGACAAUCAGCGUUGAAACAAUAACAAAGUACCUUCCCACCACGGUUUCAGAAAAAGUGGGGGAAUGCAGCUGGAGAAAUGUAACCACUCUUCAAUUCAAAGACAGAGCUACGGAUUCAAGGACUGACCAUCCAUGAUAUCAAAAUUAUAGUUUUAACCAUGUUUUUAGGCUAUACAUUUACUUUGUUUACAAACAAUGGAGUUAAACAAGCUUAUAGUUUGGGUUCUGGUGGGGUACGACAGUUGAACUAAACUAAGCUCAUGAGCCUAAAUUAUUCAAUCAAUGGGUAAAUUUUCAUUUACUGUAGGCUAUAAGUAAAACAAUGGAUGUAGAAACCUCUGAUCGCUCCUUUAAUUAAUCAAGUAUAAGGCAGAUACUGCCCUCUAUGGAAUGAGUUUGACACCUGUGGCUUAGUGGAAUCCUUGAGACGACCAACUGACAACACCCUAUUGAAGUUUCAAUUCAAAGAGUUAAGGUAAGGUUAGGGCAGUGGUGGAGAAAAUACCCAAUUAUCAUACUUGAGUAAAAGUAAAGAUACGUUAAUAGAAAAUGACUCAAGUAAAAGUCACCCAGUAAAAUACUAGUAUCAAAAGUAAAAUUAUAAAUAAUUUAACUGCUUAUAUUAAGCAAACCAGAAGCCACAAUUGUAUUUAAAAAAAUGUAUUUAGAUAGCCAGGGGCGCACUACAACACUUCCACAUAAUUUACAAACGAAGCAUUUGUGUUUAGUGAGUCUAUGCACAGACCCGCGUUUUGAAAAGUCGGUUUAAUAAUAGGCCUACCUUCCUGUGGAUAUUUUGUCUCAAAUGUCAAUGGUGGAAGGACUAAUCCAAUGCACAACCGAAUACUGCCUCUGAAAUAAUUGAAGCAGCUUCUGGAUGGUCGAGGAACAGGGUCAUCUAUUCCACCAAGACCAGCUGGCUCUACUGGGUACGAUCAUGAAGGAUGUUCUCCACCAGCGAGGUUCUCCAUACCUCUGACGGAGGACCUUCUACCACGGGUCAUCACAGUGAGCCAGUCCCCCAGCCUACCCACCCGUCUGUCCGCCCAGGUCAGGGAUUUCCCUGCUGAGAGGACGGGCGUUGGAGUGGGCUACGGCCGUCUAGGAGAGAGGAGUCUAGGAGCUAGGUUCCUAUAAGAGGUUUAUGGCUCUGUUUCAGGCUUUCUUCGACCGUUCUCCAGAUGGCAAAGAGGGAGGUGAGUGACUUUUCCAACACCAGCGGGUGCCCAGACCGCUAAGGAAUGAGCCCUCCCCUUUCUGACUGUGGCAGCCUCCAGCUGGAAUGAGCCAGUGUUCCGCAAUCUAUUCCACAGUGGACUGCGCAAGGAGGUCCAGACAGAGUUUGCAUGUCAGGAUGACAACAUAUCCUUGGACGCUCUCAUCGCAAUGGCCAGCCGUCUAGAUAAUCUUUGGGAGUGCCUGUGUCCACCUUGCCACUUGCCUCCCUCCUUUGGCUGUCCUGAGGCAGAGCCUGAAGCCAUGGAGGUAGGGGCCACACACCUCUCCGCUGCAGAGCGGUGUUGUCGGAGACAGCUGGGGCCCUGUCCAUAUUGCGGCCAGGAGGGGCACCAGCUUCAGUGGUGUGUGUGUGUCCCAACCCUGGGUCCACUAGAGACCUUCUGUCUCCCAGGGUAGGUGUGAGUAUUCAUUAUCAUUGUUUUCUGUUAAACCCUUUCUGGUUUCCAUUUCGCUGGCUGUCCCUCAAGUGUUGUCUCUACAGCUCUAGUGGACCGGUGCUGCUGGGAACUUCAUUGACCAGGCCCUCGCUUCCUCCCUGAACUUAACUUCAUACCUGCUCUCCUCUCCUUUUCCUGUCCAAGCCCUGGAUACGCAACCAUUGGGAUCUGACACAAUUGCACACAUCACAGCACCACUCUCCCUCACCGUGGGACCCAUGCACCAGGAAAGCCUCCCCUUCCUCACCACCGCACCUGUACAUAGUCAUCCUCGGCCUCCUGUGGCUCCAACUUCAUAACCCCACCCUCUCCUGGUCGAGGAUGAGAAUUGCCGCCUGGGGAACAGGAUGCCGGAGGACCCGCUUUCCCACACCCUGUGGUUUCACGUUGGUGGAGGAACCCGCUCCUGCUACCUGCCCUCCAGAGCGCAUCUACAUCCUCACAGGGGUGAGAGAUUGGCUGUUGACCUGGACACACACAUCCCUCACCACUGGACACCCAGGGAUCACCCGCACCAUCAAUCCCUCUCCAAUAAAUACUUCUAUAAAUAGACAAGAGCCUGCAACCAUGGAGAGGCCCCUGCAGUGGACGAGUGGUUCCGACAUAGUGGUUGGUGUGGAACGCCGCCCACGUGAGGCUCAAGCGCGCUGUCCGCAAUAAGGCAGACCGCCACCGCAGUGAGGCUCCCAUGUUACAUCCUGGUGAUCGUGUCUGGCUCUCCACCAGGAACCUCCCGCUCCACCUGCUGGAAGCUGAGCCCCCAGUUUUUGGGGCCUGUCAUGCUAAUGUGUCCCCCUCUGCUUCACAAUGGGAUUCGAUAAACUAUUAGUGUCCAUUGCUAUAUCAACGGUGACUAAUGAUUUGAAAUGUGGUAAUCAUUACAGCCUAAAUGUUAUUUUCAUCAUCGCUAUGCAAACAAGGCUGAUUCCGGAC